GAUGAACGCUGGCGGCGUGCUUAACACAUGCAAGUCGAACGAAACACCUUAUUUGAUUUUCUUCGGAACUGAAGAUUUGGUGAUUGAGUGGCGGACGGGUGAGUAACGCGUGGGUAACCUGCCCUGUACAGGGGGAUAACAGUCAGAAAUGACUGCUAAUACCGCAUAAGACCACAGCACCGCAUGGUGCAGGGGUAAAAACUCCGGUGGUACAGGAUGGACCCGCGUCUGAUUAGCUGGUUGGUGAGGUAACGGCUCACCAAGGCGACGAUCAGUAGCCGGCUUGAGAGAGUGAACGGCCACAUUGGGACUGAGACACGGCCCAAGCUCCUACGGGAGGCAGCAGUGGGGAAUAUUGCACAAUGGGGGAAACCCUGAUGCAGCGACGCCGCGUGAGUGAAGAAGUAUCUCGGUAUGUAAAGCUCUAUCAGCAGGGAAGAAAAUGACGGU
Molecule: ribosomal RNA, 450 nt
Filed under: uncultured bacterium
Lineage: Bacteria
Description: bacterial SSU rRNA
Rfam family: Bacterial small subunit ribosomal RNA
Source: RNAcentral